AUGCUAUGGGGCACAUGGACAGCCCUAUGGGGUGUGAUGCUAUGGGGCACAGUGUGCUAUGGGGCACGAUGCUAUGGGGCACAUGGACAGCCCUAUGGGGUGUGAUGAUGUGGGGUGUGAUGCUAUGGGGCACAUGGACAGCUCUAUGGGGCACAUGGUGUUAUGGGGCACGUGGUGCUAUGGGGCACUAGGUCAGCUCUAUAGGGCACGUGUUGAUGUGGGGCACAUGGACAACUAUGGGGCAUGUGUGCUAUGGGGCAAAGGGUGGGCACUGUGGGGCAGGAGGAUGGCGCUAUGGGGCAGGAAAAUGACGCUAUGGGGCACAGGAAUGCUGCUAUGGGGCAGGAGGAUGGUGCUAUGGGGUGCAGGAAUGGCGCUAUGGGGCAGAAAGAUGAUGCUAUGUGGCAAGAUGGCGCUAUGGGGCACAGGAAUGGCACUAUGGGGCAGGAGGAUGGCGCUAUGGGGCACAGGAAUGGCGCUAUGGGGCAGGAGGAUGGCGCUAUGGGGUAGGAGAAUGGAGCUAUGGUGCAGGAGGAUGGUGCUAUGGGGCACGGGGAUGGCGCUAUGGGGUAGGAAGAUGACGCUAUGGGGCAGGAGGAUGGCACUAUGGGGUGCAGGAAUGGCGCUAUGGGGCAGGAAGAUGAUGCUAUGUGGCAGGAUGGCGCUAUGGGGCACAGGAAUGGCGCUAUGGGGCAGGAGAAUGGAGCUAUGGGGCAGGAGGAUGGCGCUAUGGGGCACGUGGAUGGCACUAUGGGGUAGGAAGAUGACGCUAUGGGGCAGGAGGAUGGCACUAUGGGGCA
RNAcentral lists this long non-coding RNA (800 nucleotides) under Coturnix japonica (Japanese quail). Its description in RNAcentral is "lncRNA (ENSCJPG00005001864.1)". The record is from RNAcentral. Lineage: Eukaryota; Metazoa; Chordata; Aves; Galliformes; Phasianidae.